This is a long non-coding RNA of Carya illinoinensis, 1560 nucleotides long. RefSeq lists it as uncharacterized. The transcript has 3 exons. The record is from RefSeq and is a predicted model, not a curated record. Lineage: Eukaryota; Viridiplantae; Streptophyta; Magnoliopsida; Fagales; Juglandaceae.
CACAUAACAAGAAAAUAAGUUCUUUCAAUUUCACUUUCCCUUUUCUCUGUUUCGUCUCUUACACAGACUUUCUUUUCUGGUUCUUGUUAGACAUAGCUGUAAUGGUUUUCCAAGUUUUAUCAUGAUAUUAGAGCGGAAUCUUCUGCGACUGAUGAAUCUGCAGAUUUCUCCUUUUCUUCUUUCAUGAAAAUCUUUCUUCUCUUUCGUUAUGGUGACUUCGUUUCUUUCUUCCGAGUAUGAUGAUCCGACUAGUCCUUAUUUUCUUCACUAUGGAGAAAAUCCAGGGACAAUGCUCGUGUCGCAAGAACUUGUUGGAGAAAUUUUCAUUAGGCACUCGAUGUCGAUAGCUCUUAGUGCCAAAUUCGUAACAGGAGCAUUAAAAAAGCACCAAAUGAUGAUGAUCCGUUGGUAAAUGCAUGGAUUAUGUGCAAUGAUAUGCAAAUCAAGUUGGGUUAUUGCCAACACCCAUUUCAAAUAUCCAAUCCCAUACAAAUAUGUCAGGAGAAAAAUUACAGCUAAUAGAACAAAAGUGCUACUACAGUUAUAAGGGAUGAUUGGAGAAUAUUCUGGAGGAUGCUUUGGCUAUUGGCUGCUGCAGAAUAUUGUGGACAGAGUUGGCAUUGUGUGCUGUCAGCGCACCACAUGCUGUAUAGUGCAUGCUGCAUGUCCUGCAUUUUGUAAUGUAGGUGUUGUUGGAGCAAGUUUCAUGCCCGCUGCUGGUUUUGCAUAUAUCACUGUACGUUGCAUGUCAGGUAUUGCAUUAGUGGCUUGAACAGGUAUCUCCUUUAAUUCUUUUGCUUUUAAUCAUUCAUUGAUAAAAAAACAUCUCUUCAAACCAAACACAAUGGAUAAUAGAUGGUAGAGCAACUGACCAUAUGGUUAGUUCCCUUUCUAUUUUUCCUUCAAUUUCCUUAGUAGUCAAUCAUCAAGUAAAGCUUCCUAAUGGAAAUCUCUCACAUGUCACUAAUAUAGGGACUGUGCAUAUUUCAGACUCUCUUUGUGUUCUUUCUUUUUCAUUCAACCUUAUCUCCACCAGUCGACUUGCCAAGGAUUCAUUUUGUUGUCUAACUUUCUUCACCAAUUAUUGUGUCAUUCAGGACCUACACACUUGGAGAAUGAUUGGGAUGGGUGAGCAGCAAGCUGGCUUAUACUAUCUUCUGCAAAACUUUCAGAAUGAGGCAAAGAUUGUCAGUUCUUCCAUUCCCUCAACUUCUAAAGUUGUCUCUGUUAUUUCUCCUUUUUUUGAUCUGUGGCAUUAUAGAUUAGGGCAUUUGUCUCCUUCUAGAUUGUUACUACUGAAUAAAUCUGUACUAGAUAUCAAAGUUUCAAAUACUACACCUUGUAUAGUUUAUCCUUUUACAAACAUCAUAGACUUCCUUUUUCCUUAAGUCAAAGCAUGUCUCACAAUCCUUUUGAGAUAAUUCAUUGUGACAUUUGGGGACCAUUUUCCAUUCCUCCUACCGAUGGUUCUCGAUUCUUUCUCAUUAUAGUUGAUAUUUUUUCAAGUGUACUUGGGUUUAUCUUAUGAAUAACAAAGGUCAAACUUGACAUUUGCUUCAA